ACAGUGGUGGUUCAGUGGUAGAACUCUUGCCUUCUCUGCAGAAGACUUGGAUUUAAUUCCCGGCCAACGUG
This 71-nucleotide transfer RNA is filed under the name Loxodonta africana (African savanna elephant). It matches the Rfam family "tRNA". Rfam says of the family: Transfer RNA (tRNA) molecules are approximately 80 nucleotides in length. Their secondary structure includes four short double-helical elements and three loops (D, anti-codon, and T loops). Lineage: Eukaryota; Metazoa; Chordata; Mammalia; Proboscidea; Elephantidae. The record is from Rfam by way of RNAcentral.